GAUGAACGCUAGCGGCAGGCCUAACACAUGCAAGUCGAGGGAGGAGCUUUCGGGCUUCGACCGGCGUACGGGUGCGUAACGCGUAUACAAUCUGCCUUUCACAUAGGGAUAGCCCGAAGAAAUUUGGAUUAAUACCUAAUGGUAUAUAGGAGUGGCAUCACAUUUAUAUUAAAGCUGAGGCGGUGAAAGAUGAGUAUGCGUUCUAUUAGCUAGUUGGAGAGGUAACGGCUCCCCAAGGCGACGAUAGAUAGGGGUUCUGAGAGGGAUAUCCCCCACACUGGUACUGAGAUACGGACCAGACUCCUACGGGAGGCAGCAGUGAGGAAUAUUGGACAAUGGUCGGAAGACUGAUCCAGCCAUGCCGCGUGCAGGAAGACGGCCUUAUGGGUUGUAAACUGCUUUUGCAGGGGAAGAAUAAGGACUACGAGUAGUUUGAUGACGGCACUCUGCGAAUAAGCAUCGGCUAACUCCGUG
RNAcentral lists this ribosomal RNA (474 nucleotides) under uncultured bacterium. RNAcentral's name for it is "partial 16S ribosomal RNA". It matches the Rfam family "Bacterial small subunit ribosomal RNA", at positions 28 to 507 of the family's 1533-position model. The record is from RNAcentral.